Molecule: transfer RNA, 61 nt
Filed under: Rattus norvegicus (Norway rat)
Lineage: Eukaryota; Metazoa; Chordata; Mammalia; Rodentia; Muridae
Rfam family: tRNA
About the family: Transfer RNA (tRNA) molecules are approximately 80 nucleotides in length. Their secondary structure includes four short double-helical elements and three loops (D, anti-codon, and T loops). Further hydrogen bonds mediate the characteristic L-shaped molecular structure. tRNAs have two regions of fundamental functional importance: the anti-codon, which is responsible for specific mRNA codon recognition, and the 3' end, to which the tRNAs corresponding amino acid is attached (by aminoacyl-tRNA synthetases). tRNAs cope with the degeneracy of the genetic code in two manners: having more than one tRNA (with a specific anti-codon) for a particular amino acid; and 'wobble' base-pairing, i.e. permitting non-standard base-pairing at the 3rd anti-codon position.
Source: Rfam by way of RNAcentral
GGGGAUUUAGCUCAGUGGUAGAGCGCUUGCCUAGCAAGUGUAAGUCCCUGUUCAGUCUCCA